AAGUGUUUAAGGGUAUAAUCUCUACCAGUUCUUGUCAUACCCUAUGCGGCAAUAGUCUCUUCAAACCUGACCUUUCCUUUCAUCCUUGCCUCGGCUGUAUAAUCCUAUGGUAUAUCGUUUGUAUAGAAUGGCAUCACAGUCGACAUCUCAGCAUUAUAGGCUUGGUAGACAUGUGCGGGUUGGGAAUAUCUGGGUGAAGUGGGUUGAUAUGCGGGAGGUGGAGGUGAUUGAUAAUUCGGUGAUGGAGUUUGGUAAGAGGGUGAGGGUGCUUGGUAGUUCGGGGUAGGCUAAUAUGUGAGUGGAGGCAUCAGGUAAGUUUUGUAUUUGAUGAGAUAUUUUGUUCUUUGUUAAACCAGACUAUAAGGCCUUAUUUGUAGCUUGAAAGGCCUCGAAGUUUCUAACCAUACCGCUUUUGAUGCCCUCUUCUAUCCUUUCCCCAUGCUUGAUAAUGUCAAAAAAUUUGUGGCUCUCAAUCAUCAUUGUCUUUCCAUAAUACUGCGGGUCCUGAGUCCAGACAUAGAAUCUGUUUAUUUGUUCCUCCUCUAAGGCAGGUCUGACCUUUGCAGCUUUGGACCUCUAGCGAGU
RNAcentral lists this long non-coding RNA (585 nucleotides) under Nicotiana benthamiana. RNAcentral describes it as "long non-coding RNA (NBEN_LNC013591)". Lineage: Eukaryota; Viridiplantae; Streptophyta; Magnoliopsida; Solanales; Solanaceae. The record is from RNAcentral.